UACGGGAGGCAGCAGUGGGGAAUAUUGCACAAUGGGCGCAAGCCUGAUGCAGCCAUGCCGCGUGUAUGAAGAAGGCCUUCGGGUUGUAAAGUACUUUCAGCGGGGAGGAAGGCGAUGCGGUUAAUAACCGCGUCGAUUGACGUUACCCGCAGAAGAAGCACCGGCUAACUCCGUGCCAGCAGCCGCGGUAAUACGGAGGGUGCAAGCGUUAAUCGGAAUUACUGGGCGUAAAGCGCACGCAGGCGGUCUGUUAAGUCAGAUGUGAAAUCCCCGGGCUUAACCUGGGAACUGCAUUUUGAAACUGGCAGGCUUGAGUCUUGUAGAGGGGGUAGAAUUCCAGGUGUAGCGGUGAAAUGCGUAGAGAUCUGGAGGAAUACCGGUGGCGAAGGCGGCCCCUGGGACAAGACUGACGCUCAGGUGCGAAAGCGUGGGGAGCAAACAGGAUUAGGAUACC
RNAcentral lists this ribosomal RNA (454 nucleotides) under uncultured bacterium. RNAcentral's name for it is "bacterial SSU rRNA". It matches the Rfam family "Bacterial small subunit ribosomal RNA", at positions 340 to 786 of the family's 1533-position model. The record is from RNAcentral.